GCCCGGGGCUCGGUGGGGCUCUCCCUCGCGGCUGUGCCGGCACUGCGGCGGGGGUCCGUCCCCCGCACCCGCGCUGGCUCUGCUGCUUGGCGGCCUUAGGGACCGGGCAGGCGCGCUGCCGAGCCAAGGGGAGGCCGGGCCUCGGGCCUCGGCAGCGAGCUGCCGAGCGCCGGGCCUGGCCCGGCCUCGGCCUGCCCGUGCCGGCGUGGCCUCCAUUCCGCACGCCGGCGGUUGUCCGCCGCCAGCAGCCUUUCUAGCAAGGGGCGGCCGUGGCAGCGGCUCUGGCUUGCUUUCAGACUGGCCUCCGGGCAGCUCCUUGCAGCAGCCACCCAUCCCCCGCCCGGCCCGCCAGCCUGGCCUUGCGGGCAGGCCGCUGUAGAAGAGGUAUCUCGAAGGCGUAUCUCGUCUACAUACACGCACCAGGCUGAAUUUGCAGGCCGUGGCCAGCACUGCUGGCUGACAGAGGUCCUGUCCUCCGGCAGGACCCGCGGGCCCCUCGCUGGUCCCUCGGGACAGCUGUUCGGCAGGCAGAGGGAUUGCCCUGCAGCUUCAGACAUGGGUCGUCUUGCAGAGUAGAAGAUGAGACCGACAGAUGUGGCUGUGCUGAGUAGGCAGAGGCAUGGACUACUCUUUGAUCCUAUAAAGUUUAUCCUGGUUUUCAUGAAACACCCCUGUAAGUGGCCAGCAAUACAUCUCAUUGCCGCAGAACAUUCCAGCCAUUGCUCCAGGAAGAAUGAAAGGACAGUCAGAGCAGAUCACGUACCCAGUGACCCUGAAAGUAAAAGGCUUGUACUACUUUCUGCUAGCCCCCACGCUUUGCUACCACCUGAAUUUCCUAAGAAAUUCACACUGCAGACACAGCUAUAUCAUUAAGAGGCUCCUGGAAGUGGGCCCUGAAGGAGUAAACAAAUGUCCUACAGACUGUACGUGCACUCUGCUAAAAAUGUAGCAAUAGCCAGAGCUGUCUGCGGUUGCUUUCCUUUUGUGUAAGUCCAACAGUGAUGCAAUUACGCUGUGAAAUAAUGAAAAUUUC
This 1033-nucleotide long non-coding RNA is filed under the name Aquila chrysaetos chrysaetos. RNAcentral's name for it is "lncRNA (ENSACCG00020008716.1)". The record is from RNAcentral. Lineage: Eukaryota; Metazoa; Chordata; Aves; Accipitriformes; Accipitridae.